AAAGAUGAGCUGGUAUAUUGUUGGCUACUGUAAACUGCCCCUGAGCAUAGUGAUAUGUUACGUGCCUGUAUACUAUUGGUGACAUUGGGUAAUGUGCUGAUGACACUGUACAGCAGGGAUACCUAAUUAUAUUUAACAAGGAUCUGCUACUUCACUCACUGAUGUUUCUGAAGUCCAGACCCCGAGUCAUGACUGCCAGGAAAACAGAAUAAAUCAGCUCCAUCACGGGCACAACCCAC
Pristis pectinata (smalltooth sawfish) is the source of this 239-nucleotide long non-coding RNA. RefSeq lists it as uncharacterized. The record is from RefSeq and is a predicted model, not a curated record. The transcript has 3 exons. NCBI's taxonomy places the organism in Eukaryota, Metazoa, Chordata, Chondrichthyes, Rhinopristiformes, Pristidae.